GUCGGUGUCAGUUUUCUGAAGAACCUGGGGGUAAGACGAACCGCUCAAUGUAGAUGCAGCUUUAACAUCUGGCGGAAGAGAGUGGUUUGAAAUGUAUCACUGGUAUUCAGUUUGAUGCAAAUGCAGCACUCUGGGCUGAAUGUAUUUGCCAUAAAUUAGAUCUGCACAGCCAGCAACUUACAGAGCACAGCAGAGGAACUGAGCUCCACGGUGAAGAAAAAAACACGUGUCGCAGGACGAUUGAUGGUUAGCCUCUAGACCCCUCAGACAUCGUGAGCAGAUUCCUAACAGUCUCAAAACAACUGCCGGCAGCAUUGAGCCAUGAGCCCUGUGUGGUUUGAAUAUGAUUCAAGCUUGUACAAAAACUGCAGGUGAUAUUUUGCCUGUAGCGUGUCAUUGCGCUGGCUGAUUUGGACAGAUGUGGUUGCGGCAGGUUUGAUUAGUGUAAUUAUUUUUAUAGAGAGGGAACUUUAAACAAAUGCAUGCUGAAGAAUGCUGAUAUUGGAAUAUUUGGAUAAUGUAUUGUGAAACUGAUAUCUGUCCUGUUUAAUUGGGCAAACUUGUUUCAAGAUUGAUACCAAAAUCCAAUGUAAGCUACUGUAUGGAAGUCACUAUUAAGGGUUAAACAACACACUGUUUCUUUUGCCUGCCUGCUGUUAAAAUACAUAAAAAAAAUUUGAAGCAUGUAUAUUCUUGUAGUUUUGGAUUUUGGGCUCUAUGGAAUGUAAGGAAACAGAAUUUAACUUUAAAUGAAAUUCAGAUAAAGAUAAUUAAUGAAAUGUAAAGACAUAAUUAAUGAAAUGUAUAGCAUUUUACCUAGAAAUGCAAGGUUUGGCACGAGAAAUGUGGCCUAAACAAUUGUUAUUUGUCAAAGCCUUACCAGAAAGUCUUGGAUAGAUGAAUAAAUGGAUGAACAUGUGUUGAA
This is a long non-coding RNA of Carassius gibelio (silver crucian carp), 925 nucleotides long. RefSeq lists it as uncharacterized. The record is from RefSeq and is a predicted model, not a curated record. The transcript has 2 exons. NCBI's taxonomy places the organism in Eukaryota, Metazoa, Chordata, Actinopteri, Cypriniformes, Cyprinidae.